RNAcentral lists this long non-coding RNA (1809 nucleotides) under Daucus carota (carrot). RNAcentral describes it as "long non-coding RNA (DCAR_LNC000682)". The record is from RNAcentral. Lineage: Eukaryota; Viridiplantae; Streptophyta; Magnoliopsida; Apiales; Apiaceae.
AAUCUUUGUUAUGCCCUAAUAGGACGUUUAUACUGAAGGGGUAACAUGGGUUAAAAUGUAAUUUUUGCUGAUAGGAAGUAUGAAGGGUUAAUGCUCUAUUAACUCGAUCAAAACUUUCAGUUGGCCUACCGAGUGAAAAAAGCUUUCAGUCAACUAAUUGUACCAUUUAAAACUUGCAGUUAGGUCAUUCCGUUAGUCUCCGUUAAAAACUUAAUGUUUUAAUGUUCUAUUUCAUCACUGUUUUCGCUCAAAAUUUCAGUUGCCCUACCAAGUAAAGGAUAACUUUACAAGCAAUCUUCCCCUCCAUUUCCUCAUGCUCCUGAUUUUUUCUCCCACCUUUACUAUGGUGCCAAUGCAUUAGGCAAUGUAGUUGAUGUAAUUUGCAUGAGCCUGAAGUCUUAGCAGAAUGAGUAUUUAUGAAUUAGUAGUUUAUGAAUUAAACCAGUGACUACCUUUUAGUUUUACAAGCUUGAGGAUGAAUUAGUAGUUUAUGAAUUAAUGAAGGAAUGAGGUUAAUGGCUCAAAAAUUCACAUAGAUUGAACAUAUUCGGGAAGAUGGACCAUCUGAAAAUCUGAAAGCCCCAAAUUAACCUGAAGAACCCUAAUUUAUACACGCAAAUCUGAAAAUAUAUGUAAUUCCGUUAAAGUUAACGUUUUCCGUUAAAGUCAAACACAUGGUUAACGGCACUGAAAUGUUUUUCAAACUUAGUUAUGUGAUUGUAAGUUUUUAGAUGCUUUAUUAUUUAAAUGAAAACUUUUUUGACUCGGUAGGCCAAUUGAAAGUUUUGGUCCAGUACAGUGACCAAUUAGAGUAUUAACCCGAAGUAUGAAUGACACAAGUCCAAUAGAGUGAAGAACUGCAUUCCCAGGUGCAAGGAUUGCAUGUCCCAGUAUCCCAGUCUGGGAUACACAAACAGUGAUGGGUGUGGAAAAAAUUGUAAAUGUAUUUAACUCCUAAAGAAAUAAAUAGAGUUAACAUCGUUAUAUCUCUUAAUGUUUAACCGUGGACAUGGGCGGAUCUAUGAUUCAAAUUUUGGGGGCACCAAGCAAAUUUUUGGAAAAUAUCUAUAUAUUUUUAAAUUUUGUGGGGGCUUUUGCAAAAUUUAGAACGGUAAAAAAAUGUAAAACAGUUUUUAGGAGGGACUCGUGUCCCCCAUACCUCUUCCUAGAUCCGCCCUUGAUCGUGGAGGCCUUAGAGCAUUCACAUUGGAUUCCCCAUCCCUAUCCCUAUAUUCUUAUUAAAUUUAGUAAUUCCCUAGAAUUAUCUUCAUGAAUUUAAAUAUCUUCUACAUCUCAUUCCCCAUCCUACCUUACCCCAUUCCUAUAUUCUUUUUAAUAUUACUUCCGUCUCUUUCUCUCUCAUUUAUUAUCUAAUCAGUUACACCUAAAUUAAAAAAUGAAAGGAAAAGGAAUGGGGAUGUACAGUGAGUCCCCAAAUAUGGGGUUUUAGUUUUUGUCCCUAAAACUAAACCCUAUUUUAGAGUCUCGGAUGGAGCAACAAUUUUGCUAAAAACUUAGGAAUUUCCUUAAAUUAUAAGGAUAUGGGAAGUAUGGGGAAGCCGAUGUGAAUGCCCUUAGACAUAUGUAAAGAUCAUUUGAUGAGUUCGGGAUUUUCCAUUUUGGACACUUAAGCACUCCUACCACCUUCACCACCUUGUCGCACCAUCCCUCUAAUUCAAGUCUGCCUAAUGUAGUCCGGACUUAAUUUUAUCCUAUUCCCGAUAUAAUAUGAUGCACGAGUGAGAUUCCUUUUCAUUUGUUAAAUUUUAAGUGACAAAUUUUUUUGGCACAGAGAAAUAAGGAAAUGGG